CUCUGUGGGAGUCCAGCGCCCAAACUUGUGGCGGCCGCGCCCAUCCCCCACCGGACGGGCACCAGGUCAAGAAGAAUGACUCGACAAAUCCCAGGGCCGCGGCCUCAAGCCCGCCUCAGACGGGUCGUCAGGAGCCUCAGGAAUUCCUCAGAACCCAGGAGUGAAAACUAAGUUGCCAAGGGAGAAAUGCCUAUGGCAGGUCUACGUUGAAUUUUGGAAAGAAAAGCAGAAAUUGCACCCAGCUGUGUAAAACUCUUUGCGCUGGACUUGAAAGCUGACAGAACUUUCCAGAUUGCUCUUCAGCCUUCCUGUCCUGACUUGACUAUGGAGGGACAAGAAAACCCCCCUGCCUGACGUGGAGGAGGAACUGAUGAUGGAAGCCUAACAUCUACUCGAGAAUAAGGAAGAAGAAAGAAGUUUUCAGAGGAACAAAAAGCUGAGGUUCUUUCUCAGGUGACCAGACCUGGCUUCAAACCACACCCUGUUUGCUUUUGGCUGUUCCUGCAAGCCGUGAGAUUCCUGUUGUUUAAAGGCUGAGUCACGAGCUUUGUGAGGUAGUUUUUUUCAUGGUCC
Long non-coding RNA from Kogia breviceps (pygmy sperm whale), 573 nucleotides. RefSeq lists it as uncharacterized. Lineage: Eukaryota; Metazoa; Chordata; Mammalia; Artiodactyla; Physeteridae. The record is from RefSeq and is a predicted model, not a curated record.